This 433-nucleotide ribosomal RNA is filed under the name uncultured bacterium. RNAcentral describes it as "partial 16S ribosomal RNA". It matches the Rfam family "Bacterial small subunit ribosomal RNA", at positions 29 to 507 of the family's 1533-position model. The record is from RNAcentral.
AACGAACGCUGGCGGCAUGCCUAACACAUGCAAGUCGAACGAAACCUUCGGGUCUUGUGGCGCACGGGUGCGUAACGCGUGGGAACCUGCCCUUAGGUUCGGAAUAACUCCCCGAAAGGGGUGCUAAUACCAGAUAAUGUCUUCGGACCAAAGAUUUAUCGCCUUUGGAUGGGCCCGCGUUGGAUUAGCUAGUUGGUAGGGUAAAAGCCUACCAAGGCGACGAUCCAUAGCUGGUCUGAGAGGAUGAUCAGCCACACUGGGACUGAGACACGGCCCAGACUCCUACGGGAGGCAGCAGAGGGGAAUAGUGGACAAUGGGGGAAAGCCUGAUGCAGCAAUGCCGCGUGAGUGAUGAUGGCCUUAGGGUUGUAAUGCUCUUUUAACCGGGAAGAUAAUGACAGUACCGGGUGAAUAAGCCCCGGCUAACUCCGUG